Molecule: transfer RNA, 73 nt
Filed under: Ancistrus cryptophthalmus
Lineage: Eukaryota; Metazoa; Chordata; Actinopteri; Siluriformes; Loricariidae
Description: tRNA-Asp
Rfam family: tRNA
About the family: Transfer RNA (tRNA) molecules are approximately 80 nucleotides in length.
Source: RNAcentral
AAGGUGCUAGUAAAACAGAACAUUACACUGCUUUGUCAAGGCAAAAUUGCUGGUUUAAACCCUGCGCACCUUA